Eurytemora carolleeae is the source of this 225-nucleotide long non-coding RNA. RefSeq lists it as uncharacterized. Lineage: Eukaryota; Metazoa; Arthropoda; Copepoda; Calanoida; Temoridae. The record is from RefSeq and is a predicted model, not a curated record. The transcript has 3 exons.
UCUAGAACGAAGUUGGCAGUUUGGUCCCUCAAUGCCGUAUAAUACAUCCCAUGCUGCGUCAGCGGUGCACAACAGUGAUCUCUACGUGUUUGGUGGAUAUACAAAACCAGUUUGUGGAUAUAAACCUCAGGUUCAGGUGUUCAGUCAUAGAAAGUAAGUAUUUUUUUUUGGUAACAAUCAAAUCUUAAAUAAUGUCAUCCUGAGUAAUUCGAAAUAAAAACAAAA